This is a non-coding RNA of Aedes albopictus (Asian tiger mosquito), 74 nucleotides long. Lineage: Eukaryota; Metazoa; Arthropoda; Insecta; Diptera; Culicidae. The record is from Rfam.
GGCUCCGUAGCUUGGAAAAAUAAAGCGCCCGUCUAGCGAAUUGGGUAUCGUGGGUUCGAUUCCCACCGGAGCAC